Felis catus (domestic cat) is the source of this 9157-nucleotide long non-coding RNA. RefSeq lists it as uncharacterized. The transcript is spliced from 2 exons. The record is from RefSeq and is a predicted model, not a curated record. NCBI's taxonomy places the organism in Eukaryota, Metazoa, Chordata, Mammalia, Carnivora, Felidae.
UCAAGAGUCGGCUCAACCGACUGAGCCUCCCAGGUGCCACAGGAGUUGUCAUUUUAAGUAGGGCGGAAGGAGACCUCCCGAGAAGGUGACAUCUGAUGGCCUGGGGGAGUGACAGAGCUGGCUGUCCUGCAGAACCCCGGGAAGGGCAUUCCAGGCAGAGGGCACAGCACGUGCAAAUACCUGAGGCACGAAUACCACCUCGGCGAGGAGGAGAGAGCGCUGCAGCAGAGGAGAGAGGGGUCUGUCACACGUGCUGGCUGCUGAAGGAAGGACACGUAGGCCCUGGGAUCCCAUCCCUGGAGGAGUCACAUAUCGGACAGACCUGUGUGGCCUGCGGCAAGACCUUCCCCACUCAGAGCCUCGGUUUUCUCACCUGCAGAAUGGUGCUCGUGGUUGCUGGGGGGUCUGGAGACAGCAGAGUGCCCAGCGCACUGCAGGUUCAACAGGCACUCACUAAGCGCUGGCCCAGGGCCCAGCCAGCUGCCCUGAUAGUGGGGGUGAGAGACCCAGCCCUACCCUCACAGAGCUUGCCCAGCGGGCACUAGGCAAAUGGUGUGAUUACCAAAUAGGACACACCCAGGGUCCCACCCCAGGGGACGUGGGGGGCUCAAGCUGCACACUCGACCAGCACCCGCUGACCGGGUUCUCCUCGGCCUGCAAGGCUGGGCCCCGGGCCUCCCUCAAGGACUCCACCCAGGCUGACAGCUCGGAGGAUGAGUUGGACUUAAUUCGGUGAACUCAUGGCAAGAGGGGCAGGGUUUGGGCAACAUGUCCAGCAUCACAUGGCUCGUAAGAGGGGCCUGAGCUCAUUCCCGAGGCUCUGGUAAAGUCAAGGAAGCAAAGGAAGUCGGUGUAUCUGCAACGUCCAGUGAUGCCUGUUGAGGGAGAUGGGAGAGCAGGGGGUCAGACCUUUCUGGGUCAGUCAUGGAUUUCACGGUUUCAGGACAGAAGUGACCUCAGAAACCACCCAAACUCCUCAUGAUACAGAGGGGGGAAACUGAGAUUCAGUUGGGUAAAGGACAUGGGCAAGGUCAAAGCAAGUUGGGGGCAGACCCAGGGUUGGAACCUGGACUUUCUAACAUGUGCCCAUGGCUCUUUUUUUUUUUUUUUUUAAUGUUUAUUUAUUUAUUUUGAGAGAAAGAGUAAGCACAGGCAUGAGCAGGGGAGGAGCAGAGAGAGAGGAGAGAGAGAAUCCCAAACAGGCCCCACACUGUCAGUGCAGAGCCUGAUGUGGGGCUCAAUCCCAUGAACCCAACUGGGAGAUCAUGACCUGAACCAAAAUCAAGAGUCAGACGUUUAACUGACUGAGCCACCCAGGAGCCCCUGCCCAUGACUCUUUCUGCAUCUGGUGAGUAUCCCAAGAGAAGAGGGAGAAUAUAAAAUGUUAAAUUAGCACCUACUAUGUCACACACACACACACACACACACACACACACACACACUCUUCACCAGUAGGUCCCUGGGCCUUAGGCCAGGGCCGGCCAUAGCCCUGGGAAUCGCUUCCAAACAAGAAAGGAAAAGGAACCUAGAAGGUCGUUUGCUCCAGCCUCCUGCCACUGGCCUCAAGGCCUCAUCCCACUGUCUCAACUGAAAUCCUCUGUAGUGAGCAGAAAUUAUAACCCCCAUCUUGUUAUGAGCAAGCCAAGAGGAGAAAAUGAAGCACUGACCUAAACUCCCACAGCGAGCAUCGGUUAAAGCUGUCUUGACUCCUAGUUUAGUGCUCUUUCCAAGGUCAUGCACAGCCCAGGUUUGAGCUAGCUGGCAGGAGGAAGUCCUUCCUGCUGUCUAACUGAAACCCCUCCUGCUUUACCGUGCCAGCUUUCCUUUGUUUGGACGCCUGAAGAAGUGGAGAAGCACCAACAUCCACCUCAUGGUCCUUGACUAUUACUGUGGAGGGGACUGAGCUGGGCGUAGGAGACUCAGGGACACCUCCCCCUCCCCGCCAUGAAUCUGAAUGCAGGAGCUCAUUUGCUGGAUGGGGUGGGGGAGGUAGACAGGCCAUUUGCUAUUAGGGCCUUUCCUCCAGGGGAAGGUUCUGGGAAAACUCUGGAAAGAAUUCCUUGGGGAAGAAGUCCUUCUGGAUCACCCCAAGGACACACACGCUCCCCAGGACGCAGCCGCCCGGGAACUGAGCUCGCGGCCAGCAACCAGCAGAACCCAAGGCCUCAGAUCCACCCCCGUGGCCAGAGGCGGCCUUGCGUUUCCUCCACACACAUGCCUGUUCGACUUGCUUGUCAGAAACCACUCAACAAAAUCCAAUUUAUGGAGCCAAUAUGAAGUGGGGGAAAAUUCCUCUAAACAAAAAAAUGUCUUUUUUCAAAUCAGGGAGGAGGAAAGCCCGGCAGUUGGACAUCCGGGUGAGUAGGCCCGGUGCUAAGAUCCGGAUUCCGAACCCUGCGGAGGGGAGCUGAGUCGGGACGUAGCAUUUACUUGGGUUUCUCCAGAGAGACCCACGGCUCCCCCAAGAUGUCAGGGCUCAGUGUGCCCAGUACUUCCGGAGAAAGCUGAGCUCAUAGGGAUGCUGGUGGCGAUUUACUGAGGGCCUACUGUGGGCCGGCCCCUGUGCUAAGUGCUUCUAUGUGGAUUACUUCGCCUGAACCCUCACAGCAACCCCAUGAGGUAGGUGCUGUUACUGUCAACACCCCACGAUGAGGAGAUCAAAGCUCAGGGAAGUUAAGCCAUUUGGCCAAGGGCACACAGCUCGGGAGAGGGGGUACAAGACUUAAAUGCAGGCAGUCUGGCUCCAGGGACCCCCACUCUUAACAUUUCGCUACAAAGUGACUUGCACCUAGCGGGGGCCUGAGACGUAAAGGAGAGAGAUACAGAGGCGCACGGGAGAGAGCACGGGCUGAGGCAGCAGGGGGCUGGGCCCCAGGCCCAGUUCUGCUGUCAACCGCCCAGAUGAGUCCUUGUCCCUCUCUUGUCCCUUGUCAUUCCUGAAAGGCCGCAACUGGGUAAGGUGAUCCCAAGCUGGCACCCAGGCUCCCAGUGCCCAUUAGCACAUGAAAGGUUCUGAGAAGUCCCGAAGUAAAGAAAAGCCAGUGAGUGCUUAACUGGAAGACCUGACCAGCAAAAAUCGUCACCUAAUGAUUCAUAACCUUGAGUUGAACUCCUAUCAGUAAGUUGGUAAGUUGACAACUAUUCACGGGCCCUUUGGAAGGUAAGUGAACAAGACAUGAUCCUGCCUUUGAGGUGCUUCUUCUCUGGAGAGAAGGUAGCCAAGUGGAAGACAGUGACCACACGGUGUGGCCAUUGCUCUGAAGGAGACCGGUCAGGGAGCCUGAAGCACCGGGCAGGGGAAGAGGCAUCUUGCCCCGCCUGAGGGUCAAGGGAAGUAUGGCAGAGAAGUUCACGGUCAAAUAGGGUUUUAAAGGACGAGUAGGAGUUCUGCAGGAAGAGAAUUAGAGAGGAAGGGCAGCCCCAGGGGUAGGAACAGCACAUGUACAAGUCAGUCGUGUGAAGGGUUCGUUGUUCCACAGGCUGGAAAAUACGGCGUGGCUGGCAGAGAGGGGUGGGCUGGAAUAGGAGCGUGAAAGGCCUUGAAUGCUAAGCCAAGGAGUUCAGAUUGUAUUCUGGGGGAAUAAUAGAGGCCAUAACUGAGAGGAGCAACCUUUUGGAUUGGGGUGGAAGGGAAAACCUACAGGCCAGGAGUCCAGUGAGGAAGCUGGUUCUGCUGUCUGGGCCAGACCAGAGGAGGCCCAAACUGCAUUGAACAGACAGCACAUCUGACCAGGAUCUUUGGUUUGCAAGAAAUCCAGCACAAGGAGACCUAGGUGAAAAUGAAAAGGGCCUUCAAGCAUGACUGAAUCCAGGGGCUCGAAUGAUAUUGUCAGAAAUCCGGCCACAGUCACAUCGGUCCGGGGGAUGGGAUUUUUUUCGUGGCCAGUGUUCAGGUCAGUCAUGCUCCAGCUACAUGCUCUGAAUAUGGGGCAGGGGCAGUUUCUCGAAGGAACUUCGGAUGACCGGCAGCAGGGUGUUGCCAGGCAGGUGAAAGCAAUAGCUGGCCGCUGUGGGUGGCGACUGUUGCGGCUUUUGGUGGGGGAUGGGCCCUUGCCCAGCCCUGCCUCUGAGGCUGAGGCACGCAGCUGAGGGCUGGGGUGGUCAGGGUGGGCUCCAUGGAGGAAAGGGGCCUGGAAGGGAGACUUGCACAGUGAGAAGGACUGGGGCAGGUAGAGUGGGCACUCUGGGAGGAAGGAUCCUGGGAGAACAAAGCUACGGAGGUGAGAGUGAGCAGGAUGUUCCGGAACCGGUGAGCACGGCAGGCCCAGAGGGCUGAUGAAAGGGGGUGGAGGGACGUCAGAGGUGCUUCUACGCCAGGCCCCCUCUGGCCUAACUGGACAGCCUCCUUGGAUACACAGGUCGGGGCGAAACAGUGGCUUCAUUGCUCAGUAGCUUCCCAUGGCUCCCUAUGGCCCAACCAUGAGGAAUUUAAGGCCCCGGCGUGCCCAUUGCCCCCUCAUGGGGCACGCAUGGUCAUCCGGAGGGCCAUGCCAACCACACUCCAAACACACCGUUCCCCUUCCACCUUUAAGCCUUUGCUCUGGAUGUUUCCCUGCCCUGAAACACAUCCCCUGUUUGGUAUUUCCACCCAUCCUCUGACAGCCAGCUAGAGGAACAGGCCUCCCCUCCUUUCUCACUUUUGAACUCCCAGAGCUCUUUCUUUGGGUUUUUUGGGUUUGUUUUUUACAUGCCCCUUAGCCCAGCCAGCCUGGUGGGGGCAGGGUGGCAAGUCACAUGCACCUGGGCCUUGGAUGCUGGUCAGAUCUGGGUUCAAAUUCUCCCUGCGUCACUCACUAGCUGUGUGACCUUGAACACAUCAUUUGACCUCUCCUUGAAGACCUUUUCUGACCUAUAAAAUGUGAACAAGGCAUUACAUGAGGCUUAAAUGUGGUUAUAUGUAAAAAGUUCCUGGCACAUGGUCUCUCAUGCAGCCCUCACUACUGUUUCGUCAUUGCUCAGAUUAUGAAUUAUGUCCCUCUCCUCCUCUAUGAGCUCAGGCCAGCCAGGGACUACACCUGGAUUUUUUCCCAGUCCCCCGGGGUCUGGCACAUCGUAGGGGGCUUGUAAGGGCUAAUCUAUCCGCUUUCCUGGGCCGUGCAGAUCCGUUCCCCCCAUCCUGCUUCACCUGGCUGAGGCUGGGGGGAGGCCCCGGGGGCCCCACACCUGCUCCCUGAGGCUGACCCGGCAAGCUACUAGGUGCCAGCAUCGAGCAUCAAUAAAUUACCGGCAAGUUCAAGUGACGGGACAGAUCCAGUGUCAGCUUCCUCUGUGUCAUGCAGGAAGGCUCAGGCCCAGGGGAUCCCCCUCCAUGAGCCUCUCCCGCCAAGGGCGCCAGCAGAAAAACAGAAUUGCUCACAGGGCACCUACUGUGCGCCAGGCCCCAUCUGGGAGCUUUGCACCGCAUUUGAUUGGCGCCUCACAAUGAUUCUGCAAAGCAGGUGCUAGCUGCAUUUUACACACGCGGAAACUGAGGCUUGAUGAAGGGAGGCGAUUGGCAAAAGACACAAUUAAUAACAGAAAGAAAAGCCCCCUUCCUUUCUAAUUCGACAUAAAUCUUGGAUCUCAUUUCAAUUUUUAGUUACAAUACACACACGCGCGCACACACACACACUUGGGGUUUCUUCAUUCAUUUAUUCAACAGCUAUUUAUUGAACACCUACUAUGUGCCAGGCCAUUCCGGACUUGGAGAUACUGCAGUCAAGACAGAAUCCCUGCCCUCUGGGAACAUACAUUCCAGUACUGAGAUGAACAGAGACAUAUACUGUUGGAAUGAAAUAUACUGAACGGAGACAUAUACUGUUGGAAACAAAUACAUAUACUGGAAGGUGGUGCUGAGUCUUGGAAGGUGAAUAAAGCAGGGCAGGAAGAUAGAAUCACUGGGGGACUAUUUCGAAAAGGGCUUUCAAGGUGGGCUUCUCUGGGGAGGUGACAUUUGAAUGAAAUUCCUUGUCUCUUUAUGCUUUCGUUUCUGGAAAAGGGAGACACUGGACUCCAAAGGUUUUCAAACUCUGUGAGGUGGACAGAAUGUUUUCCCACUCGGUUGUGUUUCCACAGGCACCGUGCCAUGGGCCAUUGUAGAUGUGGAGACACUUUUCCCCCUCCUCUUCUCUUUACCCCGAGUGCUUCUGUCCAAGGAGCCCUCAGGCAGGGCUUCUCAGAGAUGCUCGGCCGAGCCCCCCUACCAUAUGUUCUCGGGGCACCUUUUUGUUUUCUAAUUCUCAACCCAUUUGUCACAAUCUUUGGAAAGUCAGCUCUUCCCUGGGCUUCAUGAGGGCUGGGGCCAGGUCCACCUCGUGUAUCCCAGCACUAGGCGUGGCAUCCGACACAGAGGGCACUCAAAACAUAAAUAAACAUAAAUAUAACAUAAGCAUAAAUAAAUGGCAAACAGACAUAGUCACGCUAGGAGCUAAUACUUAUCGAGGGCUUAUUCUCCCAAUAGGCCUGUGAGUCAGGGGUAACUUUUAUCCCCACUUUACCAGCGUUGCAAACUGAGGCUUAGAGCAAGGAACCCACGUCAGGUCACUGAGCAGCAGAGCGUGCCGGGAGGAGACACUAAAUGCUGCUAGACUUACUGGUUAAGAGGGAGGCAGUGUAGUAUGGUGAAAAAUGCCAUCAACUUUGAUCCGAGGUGUGCAUUUUUAGGACCAGCCCAUUUGCUCUUUCAUUCAUUCACUUUUAAAAAACUUAUUCAGUGAUUGUUAAACCUCAGCUCCUGUGCUGGGCACUGGUAGGUACAGGAAACCAGGUAAAUGUGAAAUUGUGUGGUCAGAGCCCGCAUGGGGAAAGCCCAGGGGUCGGAGGGUGAGGAACCGUGGCGGUCCCUGAGCCAAACUGAGGGGUCAGGAAGCCUUUCUGGGUGAGGUGGCCCUGGAACAGCAGGGGGGUGUGCCCAGGCAGACUACGGGGGGCCAGGGGGAAGCAAGGGACCACCUCACCUCUGAGUUGUAGGCAUUCCCACCCCAUCACCUUCCCCCCUCCACCCGCCGCACUCUCCCCUUCUCCCUCCCCCCACCAUUCCCAGGCCCAGAGUCAGAGCUCAGUGAAAUACAGGUGAUCUGGCCAAAUCAGGUAAAGGCUAUGCCUGUGGCCCUGAGCCUCUUCCCCUCUGUGGGACUCAGUUUACCCAUCUGUAAAAGGCAGAGUUUGUAUUAUAUACUCUCUACAGACCCUUCAUCGGUGGCCUCUUGUGAUCCAGGAUAGUACUGUCAGCAUUAAAGAAAAACUCCAGGGGAUCUACUGACCUAUGAUUAAUGGGACAGCCUACUUUGUCCUUUUGGCAGGUGGCUGGAAUGUGAAGAAAAGAGGAGCAGUUGUCCCCUAGGACCAUGACCGUCCCCCUCCCUGAGAUGGACAUUGUGAGAAGCGUACCUCCCCCCCCCCCACCCCGCCACCCCCAGCAUGCUCUGGGGCAGGACCUCUGCUAAAGGAUGCCACUGACAUGAACAGGCUAGAAGUCCAGGGAUCCGUUUCAGCAGAAGGGGCUUUGCUUUGGGCUCAUUCUUCUGCUCGGCCACCUCUACUUUUUUACCGGUACUUUUUUGGGGCAUGAGGCUGAGAUGUGCCUAGUAUAGAGUAAGCUGACACAUGGGAGGAGAGGGCAAGGCCUCUGACCUCCAGGCACCUUGAUCACAGACCGUUGGGCUGCCCUCCACUCCUCACUCCACCUCUGCUCCUCAGUCUCUCCCUUCUUUACAACUCACCAGUGGCUUUGCAUCACGUUUAGAAUGCAAUCCAGAGUCUAGGGUCUCCUGCCUCCUCAUUCACUUCACUCUAGCCACCCUGGCCUUCUUUCAGCUUCUAGAAAAUGCCAAUAUCUUUCCCACCUCAAGGCCUUUGCACAUGCUAUUCCCUCUGCCUGGAAUGCUCUUCCCUCAGAACACAGCCUAGAUGGUUCCUUGUCAUUUAAGUCACUGUUCAAAUAUACCACCUCAGAGGGGCCUUCCCUGAUCCCCUAAGGAAAGCCGUCCCUUGUGUCCAUUUGUUAUCACAGCUCCCUAUUUCAUUCAAGGCCCUUUCCUCAAGCUGUAAUUAUUUUUUUAAAGAUUUUCUUCUUUAAUUUUUUAAAAGGAAUCUCUAUUCCCAAAGUGGGGCUCAAACUCACAACCCGGAGAUCAAGAGCUGAAUGCUCUACUGACUGAGCCAGGCAGGUGCACCCCCCAAAGCUGUCAUUAUUGAUGGCUGAUCUGUUCAGUGGCCAUCUUCCCCACCCAUUAGUGUGCUUCACAAGGGCAAGGACCUUCAGAAUCCCCUGGCUAGAUCCCCAGCACCUGGUGUAUAAUGACUGCUCAAGAGAUGUUUGUUGAAUGAAUGAAACACAAAAAGUAUCAACAAUCCCCAUUUUCCUCCUUGAACACUUUGCAACCGUAUGAAGGAGAAAAUGGCAUUUAUUGGGCACCUGUUAUAUACCAGGCGCUCUCAUGUAUGCGAUUACAUCAACGACACCCACGCCAUUAAAUAGGUGAUGAAGUUGAUGCAGUUGGGGUUCAGUGAAGGGUGGACUGAUGGGCUUAUUCAGUUGGGAAGCAGCCACCUGGGACCCGUGGACAUGAAGAAUGCCCUGGAAAAGAGCGGUCAGGGUCCCAUCCCAAGUCUGUUUGACUCUACCCGAAGCCCGUGUUCUUUCCACUGUGCUGCAUCUUCUGCCACAGUAGAACCCAGCCCAAGAUUGGUAAGCAGGUUUCUAGGUUCUGAAAGGCAGGCAAAGACCCAGAUUUCAUGGACAGGUGGUCUGGCUUAGUGGCUACUCAACUGGGUCUUGGAACUGAAGAGAGAGACCUGGGCUCCAAUGGGGGGCCCCACCACCUAGGCACCAAGGCACCCUUGCUGAGGGUGGUCAUUCACAACGCUAAGUGAGGGCACUUUUCCUCUCCGGAAGGAAGUCAGCUGUGAGGGUAAGUGUCCACGGCUAUAUUGGAAAAGUCAGGGCGUGGGGCUUCCAAGUCAUGCAGAAGCAUACCUCCGGGGCUGGGUGGCCUUUGGGUGGUGCCUUCCCCUCUCUGAGCCCCAGUAGUAAUCUCCGAAAAAUGGACACGCCAGCAUGGAACCAAAAAGAGCUUUUGGGGAGAUGAAGAAGAAAAAUGACUGUGGAGUUGUUGGUGUAUAUAAAGUAACAUGGAAAUGUAAAUUAUCUAAAAAUAAAUCUUCUAUGUGAAAUGCA